Molecule: long non-coding RNA, 1786 nt
Organism: Papaver somniferum (opium poppy)
Lineage: Eukaryota; Viridiplantae; Streptophyta; Magnoliopsida; Ranunculales; Papaveraceae
Exons: 5
Source: RefSeq, a predicted model, not a curated record
UUCAGUUAUUUUCUUCCUCCAAGUUCAUAUCGAAACUGCUCCAUCUUCUUCUUCAGUCCACCACCACCACCAUCACCAUCCACAAAUAUUGGUAUUGAUUAUUAUCUCGAACCUGUGAGUGACGCAUAGAUUUAAACAAGAAAAUAGUGACAUAUAUGUUUCUGAAGAUGAUUGAUUUCAAGGGUUUGAUGGAUCUGAAGUUGAAUUAAGAACAGAAAGGGGACUUGGUGCUGAUUCAAGUGGUUUGAAUGAUGCUGAUAUCGAAUUGAAGAAAGAGGAAAGAGGGAAUUGCUGAUUGUUAAAAGAAAUUAGGGUUUGAGUUGUGAUGAUUCUGUAAUCGAGACAGAGAUGGAGAUCGAGAACAUGAGUUGAAGUUCUGAGAUGAAAGAAUAAUUGGGUCUGUGAAAAUGAAUUUGGUGGUGAGCUAGAUCAAGUGAAGAUUGAGAUGUUACAGGAAAGAUGGAGACUAGAAGGAAGAGAAGAUGAACUGUUGGUCUUGGUAACUGGUUAUGCAGUUGAGAGUUAACAGGCGGAAUUGGUACUGGUGGUAUAGAAACAGAACUGAAAUGGUUAAUUGAGUGUGAAAUGGCAAUGAGAUUCUAGCUGCUGGUGAUAACUGAGCAGAUACAGGCAAGUAUGGUUAUUUGCAGUCGAGUUGAAGCUGAGAAUAAAUGGUUAUGGAGCUACAGAGUAAUUGACUGAGAAGGUGUUGGUCCAUAUGCAUUCUCAGAAUUACAAGGAAUUUGGCCUUGUCCUGAAAAUUCAGUAAAUGGGCAUCUGUGAGAUGAACUGUAUGUGCUCACUGGAAGGAACUUUGAAGGAAUUCCCAUGCUUUUGUUUUGGCAUUAUUAUGGAAUACAAUAUUAACGCCAAAAUGUAGUUUCUUUUGUAAAAACGAAUGCAGUAUUUACUGGCUUUAUUUUGUUCUUGAAUUUUCAGUACACCAGUAACCUAUCAAGGUUUCAGGACAAUUGUUACAUCUGUAUCAUGUUCAUAGUGCUUUUAUGAGCUAUUGAACCAUCUACUUAGUUGUAUUUACUUCGCCUGAGCAGAGCAUUUCAAGAAUGGAUACAUCUCCGAGAGUACGCUAUUAUGGGAUGAAGGAAGAGUCGAAUGACUGCCGUUGUCAUCGAUCCCUGACUGUUCACAGGAAUAUCUUCUAUUACAGCGACUUCUGACAAUGAUGAUGAGUUCGCCAAAUGGCAAGAGGAGAUUAAGAAAGCGGAACUCGAAGCUGAGGCUUUGAAGCAUGGCUCAAAAUUAAAUGAUGUUGGUGGGUCAGAUCACUUGAAAUACUUGGAGGGGGGUGUUGAGGAAAGGCCUUCCACACCACCUGAUGGCGAGGGAGAAUUCACUGAUGAUGAUGGAACUGUGUACAAGUGGGGCAGAGGUCUUAGAGCAUGGGUUCCCCAAGCUUUUGCCGAUGAGAUGGAUAUACUAUCGGUUCAAGAAAUGGCAUUACUACCUCCUGAGAACUGUCGAAGAAGAAAGCACAAAAAGCAAAUAAUAUGUGGUGGCGUCUGAGUGGUGUUCUAGGUGAUCAUAUCCUGUUCCAAGCUGCAUUCACAGUUGCCACAAUGGCUUUAACUGUGCCAAUAUUUCUGUCUUACGAAUUCCAUAUAAGUUUGUGGAGUGUCAUGUCUCUUGGGAUACGUUUCGAUACGUUUCGAAUUUUUGUUGAAAGGUUUCACUAGUGAAAACAACUCUACAUAAUUUAGUGUAACUAACUAAAUAUAAUUUGUAUUCGUAUUUGAGGAAGGAUCUCUUCACACUAUUAUUUUCACAA